AAUAUGCCUUAUGUUCUAGUUCGAGAGGUAAGUGACAUGCUUUUCCAUAAACCAUUUUAUAUGGAGACAUACCCAUAGUAUUUUUGUAUUCAGUUCUAUAGGCCCAUAAUGCAUCAUCAAGUUUCUUGGACCAAUUCUUUCUAGAUCUAUUAACAGUCUUUUGCAAAAUUAAUUUAAGCUCUCUAUUACUCAGUUCUACCUGGCCACUAGACUGUGGGUGGUAGGGAGAUGCAAUUCUAUGAUUAACAUCAUACUUAGCAAGCAUUUUACGAAAGGCACCAAGAAUAAAGUGUGAACCACCAUCAGUCAUUAAAUAUUUAGGGACUCCAAACCUCGAAAAAAUAACUUCCUUAAGCAUCUUAAUAGAGGUGUUAUGAUCAGCACUACUAGUUGGAAUAGCUUCUACCCACGUAGUAACGUAAUCAAGAGCAACUAAAAUAUGUGUAUACCCGAGGAAGGAAACGGUCCCAUAUAAUCAAAACCCCAAAUAUCAAAUGGUUCAAUAACAAGUUAAUAGUUCAUAGGCAUUUCUUGACGUCUACUAAUAUUACCAAUUCUUUGACAUUCAUCACAAGACAAACUUACGGGCAUCUUUGAAGAGAGUAGGCCAAUAAAAACCGGAUUGCAAUACCUUAUGCACAGUUCUAUCUCCAGCAUGUGUCCUCCAUAGGCCUCGGAGUGACACUUGCGUAGGAUCUGUUCCUGUUCAUGCUCAGGCACACAACGUCUAAUAACACCAUCUACUCCUUCUUUAUAAAGGUGUGUGUCAUCCCAGAAGUAAUGUCUUAAAUCAUAGAAAAACUUUUUCUUUUGCUGGUAUGUGAAACUAGGUGGUAUAAAUUUAGCUACAAUGUAAUUAGCAUAAUCAGCAUACCAUGGAGCAGUACGAGAAGCAUUUAUGAUAGCUAAUUGCUCAUCAGGAAAGCUAUCAUGAAUAGGUAGUGGGUCAUCAAGAACAUUCUCUAACCUAGACAAGUUGUCCGCAACGGGGUUCUCAGCUCCCUUUCUGUCAAUAAUGUGCAAAUCAAAUUCUUGUAGCAAGAGAGCCCAUCUAAUAAGUCUAGGUUUAGCAUCUCUAUUUUCCAUAAGGUAUUUAAUAGCAGCAUGAUCAGUGUGAACAGUUACUUUAGAAUCAACAAUAUAUGGUCUGAACUUAUCACAAGCAAAUACAACUGCUAAAAAUUCUUUUUCAGUAGUAGCAUAAUUUCUCUGGGCACUGUCUAGAGUUUUACUAGCAUAUUGGAUAACAUUUAAUUUCUUAUCAACUCUUUAUCCUAGAACAACACCUACAGCAUAAUCACUAGCAUCACACAUAAUUUCAAAGGGUAAAUUCCAAUCAGGUGGCUGAACAAUAGGUGCAAAAAUCAAGGCUUUCUUAAGUAUUUCAAAUGCUUCUACACAAUCAUCAUCGAAGGCAAAAGGAACAUCUUUUUGUAAGAGAUUAGUCAGAGGCCUAGAAAUUAUAGAGAAGUCCUUAAUGAACCUCCUAUAAAAACCGGCAUGACCAAGAAAACUUCUUAUACCUUUAAUGUCCUUGGGACACGUCAUCUUUUCAAUAGCAUCAACUUUAGCUUUAUCAGCUUCAAUACCUCUUUCAGAAAUUUUAUGCCCCAAGACAAUACCUUCAUUAACCAUAAAGUGGCACUUCUCCCAAUUCAAGACAAGAUUAUUUUCUUCACAUCUCUGCAAAACUCGAUCAAGGUUGCUUAAGCAAUCAUCAAAAGAAGUUCCGUAAACGGAGAAAUCAUCCAUGAAAACCUCAACAAUCUUUUCACAAAAGUCAGAGAAUAUAGCAGUCAUACAUCUUUGAAAGGUAGCAGGUGCAUUACAUAAACCAAAAGGCAUACGUCUAUAAGCAAAGGUACCAAAAGGGCAAGUAAAAGUGGUCUUUUCUUGAUCCUCUUUUGACACAGGUAUUUGAGAGAAACCAGAAUAACCAUCUAGAAAGCAAAAAUGUGUAUGUUUGGAUAAUCUUUCUAGCAUUUGAUCAAUAAAAGGUAAACGGUAAUGAUCCUUUUUAGUAGCUUUAUUUAGUUUACGGAAAUUAAUUACCAUUCUAUAACCUGUAGCAAUUCUUUGUGGGAUCAAUUCAUCUUUAUCAUUAGGAACAACAGUAAUACCUCCCUUCUUGGGGACACAAUGGACAGGACUUACCCACUGACUAUCAGCAACCGGAUAAAUUAUACCUGCCUCCAGAAGCUUUAGUAUUUCUUUUCUUACCACUUCCUUCAUCUUAGGAUUUAACCGUCGUUGGUGAUCAACAAGUGGUUUAGCUUCUUUCUCCAAUUUUAUUUUGUGCUGACAUAGAGUGGGACUAAUGCCCUUAAGAUCAUCAAGAGUAUAUCCAAUAGCAGCACGGUGCUUCUUCAGAGUUUUCAAUAAUUUCUUCUCUUCAUGCACUGAAAGGUUAGCACUAAUAAUAACCGGAUAUAUCUUCUUUUCAUCAAGAUAAGCAUAUUUAAGAGUAUCAGGUAAUGGUUUAAGCUCAAACACGGGAUCACCCUUGGGUGGAGGAGGAUCCCCUAGGAUUUCAACAGGCAAGUUGUGUUUCAAAAUAGGUCCCUAUUUAAAAAAUACUUCAUCUAUUUCCCUUCUUUCAUUCAUAAACAUAUCAUUUUCAUGGUCGAGCAAAUAUUGUUCUAAAGGAUCAUUAGGAGGCACGGCAAUAGGAGCAAGACCAAUAAUUUCAUCUUUACUAGGAAAUUCUUUAUCAUGGGGUUGUCUAUGAAAUUUAGCAAAAUUAAACUCAUGAGACAUAUCCCCCAAACCAAUAGUAACAACAUCCUUUUUGCAAUCUAUCCUAGCAUUAACAGUAUUCAAGAAGGGUCUACCAAAUAUGAUGGGACAAAAGUUAUCUUGUGGGGAACCAAGAACAAGAAAAUCAGUAGGAUAUUUAACUUUCCCACACAAGACUUCAACAUCUCUAACAAUCCCAACUGGUGAAAUAGUGUCUCUAUUGGCAAGCUAAAUUGUAACAUCAAUUUCCUCUAUCUCAGCAGGUGCAACGUCAUGCAUAAUUUCUUUGUAUAAGGAAUGUUGUCUUGCACUUGCACUAGCACCCAUAUCACAUAAGCCAUGAUAACAAUGAUCUCCUAUUUUAACAGAAAUAACAGGCAUGCCUACAACAGGUCUAUGUUUAUUUUUAGUAUCAGGUCUAGCAAUUCUAGCAGCUUCAUCACAGAAGUAAAUAACAUGCCCAUCAAUAUUAUCAGCCAAGAGAUCUUUAACCAUAGCAAUACUAGGUUCAACUUUAAUUUGCUCAGGGGGUGUAGGUGUUCUAGUGUUACUCUUACAAACCAUAGUUGAAGCUUUAGCAUGAUCCGUUAUUCUAACAGGGAAAGGUGGUUUCUCAAUAUAAGUAGGAACAACAAGAUCAACAUUAUAAGUGAUAGUCUUUUCUUCAACUUUGAUAGGUGCAACUACUUUUACUUCAAUGGGAGGAUUACAUUUAAACCACUUCUCCUUAGGGAGAUCAACAUGAGUAGCAAAGGAUUCAUAGAAAGAAGCUACUAUCUCAGAGUCAAGUCCAUAUUUAGUGCUAAAUUAACGGAAAACAUCGGUGUCCAUAAAAGAUUUAACACAAUCAAAUUUAGGUGUUACACCUGACUCCUUACCUUCAUCGAGAUCCCAAUCUUCAGAGUUGCAUUUAAUUCUUUCCAAUAAAUCCCAUUUGAAUUGAAUAGUCUUCAUCAUAAAAGAACCAGUACAAGAAGUAUCGAGCAUGGAGCGAUUAUUGAGAGAAAGCCGAGCAUAAAAAAUUUGAAUAAUAAUUUCUCUUGAGAGCUCAUGAUUGGGGCAUGAAUAUAACAUUGACUUAAGCCUCCCCCAAGCUUGAGCGAUGCUUUCUCCUUCGCGAGGGCAAAAAUUAUAUAUAUAAUUACGAUCACGAUGAACCAGAUGCAUAGGAUAAAACUUCUGAUGAAAUUCCAAUUUCAAUCGGUUGUAGUUCCAUGAUCCCAUAUCAUCACAUAGCCUAAACCAUGUCAAUGCCUUUCCCUUCAAAGAUAAAGGGAAGACCUUCUUCUUGAUAACAUCCUCAGGCAUACCUGCAAGCUUAAAUAAUCCACAAACUUCAUCCACAUAGAUUAGGUGCAAAUCAGGAUGUAAUGUUCCAUCUCCUGUAAAAGGAUUAGCUAGCAGUUUAUCUAUCAUACCCGAAGGAAUUUCAAAGUAAACAUUUUCAGUAGGUUCAGUAGGUUGAGGAGCAACUCUUUGCUCUACUGGUCGGGGUGAAGAUACCCCAAAAAGCCCCUCAAAGGAUUAUGUUCCAUAGUAACAAGUGACAGUAAAUUUCAGCACACUAUAUAAAUUUUUCCUUACCAAAUUCUACCUACCAAAGGCGCUUCACUCCCCGGCAACGGCACCAGAAAAGAGUCUUGAUGACCCACAAGUGUAGGGGAUCUAUCGUAGUCCUUUCAAUAAGUAAGAGUGUCGAACCCAACGAGGAGCAGAAGGAAAUGACAAGCGGUUUUCAGUAAGGUAUUCUCUGCAAGCACUGAAAUUAUCGGUAACAGAUAGUUUUAUGAUAAGGUAAUUUGUAACGGGUAACAAGUAAUGAAAGCAAACAAGGUGCAGCAAGAUGGCCCUCCUUUUUGUAGCAAAGGACAAGCCUAGACAAACUCUUAUAUGAAGGAAAACGCUCCCGAGGACACAUGGGAAUUAUCGUCAAGCUAGUUUUCAUCACGCUCAUAUGAUUCGCGUUCGUUACUUCGAUAAUCUGACAUGUGGGUGGACCGGUGCUUGGGUACUGCCCUUCCUUGGACAAGCAUCCCACUUAUGAUUAACCCCUAUUGCAAGCAUCCACAACUACAAAAGAAAUAUUAAGGUAAACCUAACCAUAGCAUGAAACAUAUGGAUCCAAAUCAGCCCCUUACGAAGCAGUGCAUAAACUAGGGUUUAAGCUUAUGUCACUCUAGCAACCCAUCUAGGCCCAAGCAAUGGUGAAGUGUCAUGUAGUCGACGUUCACAUAACACCACUAGAGGAAAGACAACAUACAUCUUAUCAAAAUAUCGAACGAAUACCAAAUUCACAUGACUACUUAUUGCAAGACUUCUCCCAUCUCCUCAGGAACAAACGUAACUACUCACAAAUCAUAUUCAUGUUCAUAAUCAGAGGGGUAUUAAUAUGCAUAAAGGAUCUGAACAUAUGAUCUUCCACCAAAUAAACCAACUAGCAUCAACUACAAGGAGUAAUCAACACUACUAGCAACCGACAGGUACCAAUCUGAGGUUUUGGAACAAAGAUUGGAUAUAAGAGAUGAACUAGGGUUUGAGAUGAGAUGGUGUUGGUGAAGAUGUUGAUGGAGAUUGACCCUCUGCCAAUGAGAGGAUCGAUGGUGAUGACGAUGGUGAUGAUUUCCCCCUCCCGGAGGGAUGUUUCCCCGGCAGAACAGCUCCGCCGGAGCCCUAGAUUGGUUCCGCCUCGUGGCGGCGGAGUUUCGUCCCGAAAGCUUGCUUGUGAUUUUUUCCAGGGUAAAAGACUUCAUAUAGCAGAAGAUGGGCAUCGGAGGCCUGCCAGGGGGCCCAUGAGGCAGGGGGCGCGCCCAGGGGUAGGGCGCGCCCCCACCCUUGUGGCCAGGGUGUGGGCCCCCUCUAGGUUAUUCUUUCUCCAGUAUUUUUUAUAUAUUCCAAAACGUGCCUCCGUGAAGUUUCAUGACUUUUGGAGUUGUGCAGGAUAGGUUUCUAAUAUUUGCUCCUUUUCCAGCCCAGAAUUCCAGCUGCCGGCAUUCUCCCUCUUCAUGUAAACCUUGUAAAAUAAGAGAGAAAAGGCAUAAUUAUUGUGACAUAACGUGUAAUAACAUCCCAUAAUGCAAUAAAUAUCGAUAUAAAAGCAUGAUGCAAAAUGGACGUAUCACCACCGUCGACGACGACUCCUACUACACCGGAGGUGCCUACUACUACGUGGAAGCCGCUGAUGAUGACCAGGAGUAGUUUAGGAGGAUCCCAGGCAGGAGGCCUGCGCCCCUUUCGAUCUGUAUCCCAGUUUGUGCUAGCCUUCUUAAGGCAACCUUGUUUAACUUAUGUCUGUACUCAGAUAUUGUUGCUUCCGCUGACUCGUCUAUGAUCGAGCUCUUGUAUUCGAUCCCUCGAGUCCCCUGGCUUGUAAUAUGAUCCUCGUAUGACUUAUUUUAUUUUUAGAGUUGUGUUGUGAUAUCUUCCCGUGAGUCCCUGAUCUUGAUCGUACACGUUUGCGUGUAUGAUUAGUGUACGAUUGAAUCGGGGGCGUCACAAAAACCAACUUAGGAUUGCUAAGGCCUCUAUGGAUAACAUGUUUUAUGUUGUGUUUACAAAGCCUCACGAUGAAAAUACCUCUAAGAAAGUUAAGAAGAAGGAUGGCAAAACUUACAUCCUUGCUUUAUGCCUAGCUAAGGGCGUAAAACUAUAGCGCUUGUUGGGAGGCAACCCAAUGAAUAAAUUUUAUUUUUGCUUUUUACUUUCUGUUCUUGAGUGUUAGCAAAAUUAUGCUACUGUUAUGAUUGUGUUUUUUGUGUUUUAAUUAGUGUUUGUGCCAAGUAGAACCGAUAGGAUCUUCUUGGGAGAUAGUUGUUUGAUCUUGCUGAAAAAGACAGAAACUUUGUGCACACGAUUUUUUUUCAUUUUUUAGCAGAAAGAGCUUUUGCCCUGAUUCUUUUUGCAGAAGAUUAACAUACAAAUUACCCAGGUCUUCCUAGUUUUUCAGAAAUUUUGGAGUUCCAGAAGUUUUUGAAAAAGUCAGAUGGCUAUAGACUGUUCUGUUUUGACAGAUUCUGUUUUCUUUGUGUUGUGUGCUUAUUUUGGUGGCUCUAUGGUUUUCUUUGCUAAGUUUUUGCCAUAGAAAAGUUGGAAUAUAGUAGAUAUAAUACAAAAACAAAAUAUGAAUUGGUUUCAUACAGUACUUACAGUAGUGGUUUGCUUUCUUAUACUAAUGGAUCUCACAAAGGUUUUGUUGAGUUUUGUGUGAUUGAAGUUUUCAAGUUUUGGGUUAUCUUACGAUGGAUGAAGGAAGGAUGGAAGAGCCUAAGCUUGGGGAUGCCCCGGCAUCCCAAGCUAUUAUCCAAAAAUGAGCAACCAACUAAGCUUGGGGAUGCCCCCGAGUGGCAUCCCCGCUUUCUUCCAGUGAUCAUCGGUAUUUUACUCGAAACUAUAUUUUUAUUCGUCACAUGAUAUGUGUUUUGCUUGGAGCAUCUUGUAUGAUAUGAGUCUUUGCUUGUUUUAUUUUGUGUUUUAAAUCUUGAUCCCUUGCUGGACACACCUAUUUGAGAGAGCCAAAAUUAUGUCAUGACUUGUUAGAAUUGCUCUCUAUGCUUCACUUAAAUUUUUAUGAGCUAUGGACUUGCUCUAGUGCUUCACUUAUAUCUUUUUUAGCACGGUGUGCUUAGUAUUUUUGAAGAAGUGCUCUCUUGCUUCACUUUGAUUUAUUUGAGAGUUAGUAAAAUUUUCAAGAAAUUCUCUCUUGCUUCACUUAAAUUAAUUUGAGAGAAAGAAAAAUUAUGCUCAUGAUCUCCACUUAUAUUUGUUUGAGCUUAUGAAAAGAAACACAUGAAAAUUAGUCCCAAAGUGAUAGAUAUCCAAGAAGGAUAUAAUAAAAACUUUCAUGAAGAUCAUUGGACAAAAUAAACUUGAUUCUUAGUAAUAGUUUUGAGAUAUGAUGAUGUGAUAUGUGAGUUAUGUUGAUGAGUAAUUAUGCUUUAGUAAGAAUAUAGGUGUUAAGGUUUGUGAUUCCCUAUGCAAGUACGAAAGUCAAUAGUCAUGCAAUGAAAAUUAUAUCCUACUUGCGGUGCAUUAUUCGGUGUUAUUUAUGCUUAAUGCUUGCUUAUGAGAUUAUCCGUUUCUUGGUUGGUCGCUUCUCAAUCUUUUGCUAGCCUUCAUUUUGCACCAAGUAUGAUCUCUACUUGUGCAUCCAAAAUCCUUUAAACCAGUUUUGCCACAUGAGUCCACACAUAUCUACCUAUAUGCGGUAUUCUUUUGCUGUUCUAAGCAAAUUUUCAUGUGACAUCUCUAAUUUUCAAAAUAAACUUCUCUUUUGUGUGUUUGUUUCGAGCGGUGAGGGGUGGCUAAUAUUUUCCAUGCUAGAUGUGUUAUUCUCACGAUGAGUGUUUAUUCACUUGUCAUUGCACGAGAUUAAGGAAAAGGUAUUAGGGAUGCCCAGUCCCGAAAUGAAAAAAAUGAAUUUACUUUAUGUUGUCAAAUAAUAAAUUCCUUGAAAAGUGUUAGUAUGGAGGGCAUCCGGGGAUACGGUUAGCCAUGGAAAGUGAAAGUUUGGUGGAAAAAGGAAUAAACUUUAUUUUCUGUUUGGGAACCACCUAUGAUAUAUCUAGCAUGGAAAGUGUUGGGAACUCUAAGUCGUUUUCGUUGGUGGGAUGGAUACACCUCCCAAAAUGUUUUUAUCUCUAAGUUUUUCGCUUUGAGCUCUCGCACCUCUACAAAUCCCUACUUCCCUCUGCGAAGGGCCUUUCUUUUACUUUAUGCAUUUUUUAUUUUUGAGUCUCCAUCUUCUCUUACAAAAGCACCAACUAGGAGGCAAUAUGAUCGUACUUAAGUAUUGGGUGUAGCUAAUAUUCGAGUGUGUUUCAUGAAUGGAUCAAUGUUCGAGCAUGAUGGGCUAGGGAUAAGUUAUUUUAGUGUUGAUAUUUUGAAAGACAUGGUUGCUUGUUGAUAUGCUUGAGUAUCUAUAUUAUUAUGUCAAAACUAGACUAUUGCUUUGAACAAUAUAAAAGUCCAAAUGUCCAUGCUUUAAAGAAAAGAAUAUGAUAUGACAUGCUAGGCAACAUUCCACAUAAAAAAUUCUGUUUAUCACUUACCUACUCGAGGACGAGCAGCAGUUAAGCUUGGGGAUGCUGAUACAUCUCCAACGUAUCUAUAAUUUUUGAUUGUUCCAUGUUGUUAUAUUAUCAAUCUUGGAUGUUUUAUAAUCAUUAUAUAGUCAUUUUGUUUCAUUUUUUGGUACUAACCUAUUGACAUAGUGCCAAGUGCCAGUUGCUGUUUUUCCAUGUUUUUUACAUCACAGAAAAUCAAUACCAGAUGGAGUCCAAAUGCCACGAAACUCCACGGAGAAUUUUUAUGGGCCAGAAGGAACACAACGGGCCCUAGCUACGCCUCGGGGGUGCCCUGAGGGGGGCACAACCCACCAGGGCGCGCCAGGAGGCCCAGGCGUGCCCUGGUGGGUUGUGCCCACCUCGGGUGCCCCCGGACUGCCUCUUUGCUCUAUAAGUACCCCAAUAUUCCAGAAACCCUAGGGGGGUCGACAAAAUAUUCAUCCAGCCGCCGCAGAGUCCAGAACCACCAGAUCCAAUCUAGACACCAUCUCGGAUGGGGUUCACCACCUCCAUUGGUGCCUCUCCGAUGAUGCGUGAGUAGUUCUUUGUAGACCUUCGGGUCCGUAGUUAGUAGCUAGAUGGCUUUCUCUCUCUCGCUGAAUUCUCAAUACAAUGGUCUCUUGGAGAUCCAUAUGAUGUAACUCUUUUGCGGUGUGUUUGUUGGGAUCGAUGAACUUUGAGUUUAUGAUCAGAUCUAUCUUUUUAUAUCCAUGAAAGUUAUUUGAGUUUCUUUGAUCUCUUAUAUGCAUGAUUAUUUAUAGCCUCGUAUUUCUUAUCUGAUAUUUGGGUUUUGUUUGGCCAACUUGCUCUAUUGAUCUUGCAAUGGGAAGAGGUGCUUUGUAGUGGGUUCGAUCUUACGGUGCUUGAUCCCAGUGACAGAAAGGGAAACGACACGUAUGUAUCGUUGCUACUAAGGAUAAAACGAUGGGGUCUAUCUCUACAUAGAUAGAUCUUGUCCACAUCAUGUCACCGUUCUUAUUACAUUACUCCGUUUUCCAUGAACUUAACACACUAGAUGCAUGCUGGAUAGCGGUCGAUAUGUGGAGUAAUAGUAGUAGAUGCAGGCAGGAGUCGGUCUACUAAUCUUGGACGUGAUGCCUAUAUAAUGAUCAUUGCCUGGAUAUCGUCGUGUUUAUUUGAAGUUCUGUCAAUUGCCCAACAGCAAUUUGUUCACCCAGCAUUUGCUAUUUUUCUCGAGAGAAGUCACUAGUGAAACCUACGGCCCCUGGGUCUUAUUUCUCAUAUAUUUGCCUUUGCGAUAUACUUUUCUCUUACAUUUAUUUUAGAUCUAUUAAUCCAAAAAUACAAAAACACCUUGCUGCAUUUUAUUUCUAUUUAUUUUAUUUGCAAUCUAUCUAUCAAUUUACUACAAAUUUAUCUCACGUCCGUUGGCCUAUCUUGAGGCGCCGUACCCCAGAAGGGAUUGACAACCCCUUUAACACGUCGGGUUGCAAGUAUUUGUUAUCUGUGUGCAGGGGUUGUUUACGUUGUGUUUCUUGGUUCUCCUACUGGUUCGAUAACCUUGGUUUCAUAUCUGAGGGAAAUACCUACCGCCGCUGUGCUGCAUCAUCCCUUCCUCUUUGGGGAAAUACCGACGUAGCUUCAAGUGACAUCACAUUGUUCCGGAGAAUGGAGUUUUAGUCAUCUUGCCCAUGAGGCAUGGUUCGCAAGUAUCAAAUUAUUCAUAAUCAAUUGAUUCCAAAAGCCCAUCUGCAUGGAGUUUCUUCAUGCGCUUUACAACAAUAUGACCUAAAUGGCAGUGCCACAAAUAUGUUACACUAUCAUUAUCAACUUUGCAUAUUUUGGCAUCAAUAUUAUGAAUAUGUGUAUCACUACGAUCGAGAUUCAAUAAACCAUUCACGUUGGGUGUAUGACCACAGAAGGUUUUAUUCAUGUAAGCAGAACAACAAUUAUUCUCUGACUUAAAUGAAUAACCGUAUUGCAAUAAACAUGGUCUAAUCAUAUUCAUGCUCAACGCAAACACCAAAUAACAUUUAUUUUAGGUUCAACACUAAUCCCGAAGGUAGAGGGAGUGUGCGAUGGUGAUCGUAUCAACCUUGGAAUCACUUCCAACACACAUCGUCACUUUGCUCUUAACUAGUCUCUGUUCAUUGUGCAACUCCUGUUUCGAGUUACUAAUCUUAGCAACUGAACCGGUAUCAAAUACCCAGGGGCUACUAUGAACACUAGUAAAGUACACAUCAAUAACCUGUAUAUCAAUUAUACCUUUGUUCACUUUGCCAUCCUUCUUAUCCGCCAAAUGUUUGGGGCAGUUCCUCUUCCAGUGACCAUUUCCUUUGCAGUAGAAGCACUCAGUUUCAGGCUUGAGUCUAGCUUUGGGCUUCUUCAUGGGAGUGGCAACUUGCUUGCCAUUCUUCUUUAAGUUCCCUUUCUUUCCCUUGCCUUUUUUUGAAACUAGUGGUCUUAUUAACCAUCAACACUUGAUGCUCUUUCUUGAUUUCUACCUUCGCCGAUUUCAGCAUCACGAAGAGCUCAGGAAUUAUUUUCGUCAUCCCUUGCAUAUUAUAGUUCAUCAUGAAGUUCUAGUAGCUUGGUGAUAGUGACUAGAGAACUCUGUCAAUCACUAUCUUAUCUGGAAGAUUAACUCCCACUUGAUUCAAGCGAUUGUAGUACCCAGACAUUCUGAGCACAUGCUCACUGGCUGAGCUAGUCUCCUCCAUCUUGUAGGCAAAGUACUUGUCAGAGGUUUCAUUCCUCUCGACACGGACAUGAGUCUGAAAUACCAAUUUCAGCUCUUGGAACAUCUUAUAUGCUCCGUGGUGUUCAAAACAUUUUUGAAGUCCUGGUUCUAAGCCGUAAAGCAUGGCGCACUAAACUAUCAAGUAGUUAUCAUAUCGAGCUUGCAAAAUGUUCAUAACGUCUCCAUCUGCUCCUGCAAUAGGUUUGUCACCUAGCGGUGCAUCAAGGACAUAAUUCUUCUAUGCAACAAUGAGGAUAAUCCUCAGAUCACGGACCCAGUUCGUAUCAUUGCUACUAUCAUCUUUCAACUUAUUUUUCUCUAGGAACAUAUCAAAAAUAGGGGAGUGCGGGCUAUUGAUCUAUAACAUAGACCUGCAAAAACUAUUAAGACUAAGUUCAUGAUAAAUUUUAGUUCAAUUAAUCAAAUUACUAAUGAACUCCCACUUAAAUUAACAUCCCUCAAGUUAUUUAAGUGAUACAUGAUCCAAAUCAACUAACCCAUGUCCGAUCAUCACGUGAGAUGGGGUAAUCAUCAAUGGUGAACAUAUCUAUGUUGAUCAUAUCUACUAUAUGACUCAUGUUCGACCAUUCGGUCUCCAUUGUUCCGAGACCAUGUUUGUACAUGCUAGGCUCGUCAAGUUUAAUCCAAUUAUUCUACAUGUGUAAAAUUGUCUUACACCUGUUGUAUGUGAACGUAGAGUCUAUCACACCCGAUCAUCACGUGGUGUCUCGAAACAACGAACUGUAGCAAUGGUGCAUACUCAGGGAGAACACUUUUAUCUUGAAAUUAAGUGAAGGGAUCAUCUUAUAAUGCUACCACCAUUCUAAGCAAAAUAAGAUGCAUAAAGGAUAAACAUCACAUGCAAUCAAAAUAUGUGACAUGAUAUGGCCAUCAUCAUCUCGUGCUUUUGAUCUCCAUCUCCAAAGCAACGUCAUGAUCUCGCGCUUCAACCGAUCAAGUACCGAAUGCACGACACCUCCGCGUUCUGCACAUGUUCAGCUCGGUGAUGUCCCUCGCCUUCUUGAUCCAGCAAGACGUCGAGGUAGUAGAUGAGUUCCGUCAGCACCACGACGUGGUGACGGUGAUGGUGAAGUGAUAUCCGCAGGGCUUCGCCUAAGCACUACGAAAAUAUGACCGGGGGUGUAAACGGUGGAGGGGGCACCGCAUACGGCUAGGCAAUUGUCUGGUGUGUGCUAGGCGCCCCCUCCUCAUAUAUAUAGGUGGGAGGGAGAGGGGAGAGGCCAUGGGGUGCCCCAAGUAGGUCCGAAUCCUACUUGGGCUCCUGCCCUUGGCCACGCCCCCCUGCCAUGUUUGUCGGAGGGGGAAGGAAAGAGGGGGGAGAGGGAAGGAAGUGGGAAUCCUAAUCCAUACUUACCUUUCCCUUCUCCCCUUUCCUUCUCCUCCUUAGGCCGGCCCAUAUGGGGGGUGCAUGAUGACCCAUAAUUAUAGGGGUUCUAUCUUAGUCCUUUCGAUAAGUAAGAGUGUCGAACCCAACGAGGAGCAGAAGGAGAUGACAAGCAGUUUUCAGUAAGGUAUUCUCUGCAAGCACUGAAAUUAUCGGUAACAGAUAGUUUUGUGAUAUGGUAAUUCGUAACGGGUAACAAGUAACAAAAGUAAACAAGGUGCAGCAAGGUGGCCCAAUCCUUUUUGUAGCAAAGGACAAGCCUGGACAAACUCUUAUAUAAAGGAAAGCACCCCCGAGGACACAUGGGAAUUAUCGUCAAGCUAGUUUUCAUCAUGCUCAUAUGAUUCGUGUUCGUUACUUUGAUAGUUUGAUAUGUGGGUGGAUCGGUGCUUGGGUACUGCCCUUCCUUGGACAAGCAUCCCACUUAUGAUUAACCCCCCCUGCAAGCAUCCGCAACUACGAAAGAAGAAUUAAGGUAAACCUAACCAUAGCAUGAAACAUACGGAUCCAAAUCAGCCCCUUACGAAGCAACGCAUAAACUAGGGUUUACGCUUAUGUCACUCUAGCAACCCAUCAUCUACUUAUUACUUCCCAAUGCCUUCCCCUAGGCCCAAACAAUGGUGAAGUGUCAUGUAGUCGACGUUCACAUAACACCACUAGAGGAAAGACAACAUACAUCUCAUCAAAAUAUCGAACGAAUACCAAAUUCACAUGACUAUUUAUAACAAGACUUCUCCCAUGUCCCCAGGAACAAACAUAACUACUCACAAAUCAUAUUCAUGUUCAUAAUCAGAGGGGUAUUAAUGUGCAUAAAGGAUCUGAACAUAUAAUCUUCCACCGAAUAAACCAACUAGCAUCAACUACAAGGAGUAAUCAACACUACUAGCAACCCACAGGUACCAAUCUGAGGUUUUGAGACAAAGAUCGGAUACAAGAGAUGAACUAGGGUUUGAGAGGAGAUGGUGAUGGUGAAGAUGUUUAUGGAGAUUGACCCCCUCCCGAUGAGAGGAUCGAUGGUGAUGACGACGGUGACGAUUUCCCCCUCCCGGAGGGAUGUUUCCCCGGCAGAACAGCUCCACCGGAGCCCUAGAUUGGUUCUGCCAAGGUUCCGCCUGGAGACGGCGGCGCUUCGUCCCGAAAGCUUCCUUAUGAUUUUUUCAGGGAAAAAGACACCUUAUACCAGAAGAUGGGCAUCGGGGGGCUUCCAGGUGGCCCACAAGGCAGGGGGGCGCGCCCAGGGGGGUAAUGCGCACCCUCCACCCUCGUGGAUAGUGGGUGGCCCCCCUCUGGUGCUUUCUUCACCCAAUAUUUUUGAUAUAUUCCAAAACUGACUUUUGUGGAGUUUCAGGACUUUUGGAGUUGUGCAGAAUAGGUCUCUAAUAUUUGCUCCUUUUCCAGCCCAGAAUUCCAGCUGCCGGCAUUCUCCCUCUUCAUGCAAACCUUGUAAAAUAAGAGAGAAAAGGCAUAAGUAUUGCGACAUAAUGUGUAAUAACAGCCCAUAAUGCAAUAAAUAUCGAUAUAAAAGCAUGAUGCAAAAUGGACGUAUCAACUCCCCCAAGCUUAGACCUCGCUUGUCCUCAAGCGGAAUUCGAUAUCGAAAAAUAUGUGCACAUGUUUAGCGAUAGAGGUGUCGAUAAAAUAAAAUACGGACAUGAGGGCAUCACGAUCAUUCUUAGAAUAGCAACAUAUAUAUAUAUAUAUAUAUAUAUAUAUAUAUAUUGUCAUAUGAUUUCUUAUGCUAAAGUAACAAUCUAUUCACAAUGUAAAGUAUGACUCAGAAACCUCAUUGAAAAACUAGCAAACUAUAAUCUCAGUCAUUGAAGCAAUUGCAAUUUAUCAUAACAUCGGAAAGAUUCAAUAUAAGAGCUUUUCAGCAAGUCCACAUACUCAACUAUCAUUUAGUCUUUCACAAUUGCUAACACUCACGCAAUACUUAUGGGUAUGAAGUUUUAAUCGGACACAGAGAAAGAUAGGGGCUUAUAGUUUUGCCUCCCAACCUUUUACCUCAAGGGUAACGUCAACAAUAAUGCUUUAUGAAAACCCACAUCCAAUUGGAUAUAUAUAUCAGGAUCUUUCCAACACAUAGUGCUUGCCAAAGGAUAAAGUGUAAAAUGGACAGGUGAAGAUCACCAUGACUCUUGUAUAAGGUAUAAGACAAAAAUAAAAGAUAGGCCCUUCGCAGAGGGAAGCAGAGGUUGUCAUGUGCUUUUAUGGUUGGAUGCACAAAAUCUUAAUGCAAAAGAACGUCACUUUAUAUUGCCACUUGUGAUAGGGACCUUUAUUAUGCAGUUCGUCGCUUUUAUUUCUUCCAUAUCACAAGCUCGUAUAAAGCUGAUUUUCUCCACACUAAUAGAUCAUACAUAUUUAGAGAGCAAUUUUUAUUGCUUGCAACAAUGAAAACUUACUUGAAGGAUCUUAUUCAAUCCAUAGGUAGAUAUGGUGGACUCUCAUGGAAAAACUGGGUUUAAGGAUAUUUGGAAGCACAAGUAGUAUCUCUACUUGGUGCAAAGAAUUUGACUAGCAUGAGGGGGGAAGGCAAGCUCAACAUGUUGGAUGAUCCAUGACAAUAUAAUUUAUUUCGGAUAUAAGAAAACAUAACCCAUUACGUUGUCUUCCUUGUCCAACAUCAACUUUUUAGCAUGUCAUAUUUUAAUGAGUGCUCACAAUCAUAAAAGACGUCCAAGAUAGUAUAUUUAUAUGUGAAAACCUCUCUUUCUUUAUUACUUCCUAUUAAUUGCAACAAUGACCAAAACUAUGUUUGCCAACUCUCAACAACUUUUAUUCAUCAUACUCUUUAUAAGUGAAGUCAUUACUCUCCAUAAGAUCAAUAUGAUCUCUUUAUUUCUUUUUAUUCUUUUUUUUUCUUUUAUUCCCUCAAGAUCAUAGCAAGAUAACCAAGCCCUCGACUCAAGACUAAUAUUUAUUAUAUAUAGCUCACGGACUCGAUUACAUAGAUAAGGAUCAACACAAAAACUCGAAGCUAGAUCAUACUAAAGUUUAUUCUACUAGAUCAAGAUAUAACCAAAAGGAUCGAACUAAGAAAAACGGUAAAGAUAGAAGUGUGAUGGUGAUACGAUACCGGGGCACCUCCCCCAAGCUUGGCAGUUGCCAAGGGGAGUGCCCAUACCCAUGUGUUUAUGUCUCUUUCUUCGGAGGUAGUGAUGUAAUAUUUUUGGCGAUGAUGCCCCUUAGGAUACGGUUCUCUUCCUCGAGCUUAUUGACUUGCUGCUUAAGAUCCAUUGUUUCCUUCCGGAGUUUACCCGUGACGGCUAAAGCUUCUUUCACCCAUGGAUGUUGCAUAGCUGCGGGAGAACAAGUAACACUCUUUUUCAUAUUUUCAUAAGAAAGAAAUCUAGCAUUGGGACGGAUGACCGAAUUUGGAAUUGCUGAGCUCUGGAGUUCCUCCAUCAUAAAUCUGGCUUGGAGAUAAGAGGUAACUUCUUGAUCUUCCUCCAUGGCAUCUAUCCUUCUCAAGUCGGCCUCCAUCUCUUCCUCAGUUGAUGGCCCAAAAUGAUUGGCAUCGCUGUUUGCUUUUGCCCACAAUGUCGAGUGAGAUACCCGGCUCUCCCAGACUGACUCUUGAGAAGACAUCUUGAUCUAAUCUGCGGCAGAAUAAACUCAAAACAAAAACAGAGGAUUUUGUUGUGGUACGGCGGUCAAAACCUUCGGGAGAUUAUAUAAUGAAUUUUUACCGACCAAAAGAUGUACCGUGCAAGAAAACGGAGUCCGGAGGGCUCACGAGGUGCCCGCGAGGCAGGUGGGCACGCCCAGGGGGUAGGGCGCACCCUCCACGCUCGUGGAUGCCUCAUGUCCCUUUUGGACUACUUCUUAUUUUCCUAUUUUUUUAAAUAUUCCAAAACGGAGAAAAACUACUAUUAGAACUGUUUUGGAGUCGGUUUACUUACCGUACCACAUACCUAUUCCUUUUCAGAGUCUGAAACGUUCUAGAAAGUGUCCCUUAUGUACUCCUCCGGGGUUACGGUGUCAAUAACAUUGGUUUCAACAUUUAUGGGAUUACCUGAGAUAUAAUGUUUGAUUCUUUGACCGUUCACCACCUUCGGAUUUGUGCCUUCGAAGUUGUUGAUUUUUAUGGCACCGGAAUGAUAGACCUCCUCGACAACGUAAGGACCUUCCCAUUUAGAGAGGAGUUUUCCUGCAAAAAAUCUUAAACAAGAGUUGUAUAACAAAACAUAAUCACCUACAUUAAACUCACGCUUUUGUAUCCUUUUGUCAUGCCAUCUUUUAACUUUUUCAUUAAACAGUUUGGCAUUCUCAUAGGCCUGGGUUCUCCACUCAUCAAGUGAGCUAAUGUCAAAUAGUCUCUUCUCACCGGCAAGUUUGAAAUCAUAAUUGAGCUCUUUAAUGGCCCAAUAUGCCUUAUGUUCUAGUUCGAAAGGUAAGUGACAUGCUUUUCCAUAAACCAUUUUAUACGGAGACAUACCCAUAGGAUUUUUAUAUGCAGUUCUAUAGGCCCAUAAUGCAUCAUCAAGUUUCUUGGACCAAUUCUUUCUAGAUCUAUUAACAGUCUUUUGCAAAAUUAAUUUAAUCUCUCUAUUACUCGGUUCUACUUGACCAAUAGACUAUGGGUGGUAUGGAGAUGCAAUUCUAUGAUUAACAUCAUACUUAGCAAGCAUUUUAAGAAAAGCACCAUGAAUAAAAUGUGAACCACCAUCAGUCAUUAAGUAUCUAGGGGCUCCAAACAUCAGAAAAAUAACUUCUUUAAGCAUCUUAAUAGAGGUGUUAUGAUCAGCACUACUAGUUGGAAUAGCUUCUACCCACUUAGUAACGUAAUCAACAACAACUAAAAUAUGUGUAUACCCAUUAGAGGAAGGAAACGGUCCCAUAUAAUCAAAGCCCCAAACAUCAAAUGGUUCAAUAACAAGUGAAUAGUUCAUAGGCAUUUCUUGACGUCUACUAAUAUUACCAAUUCUUCGACAUUCGUCACAAGACAAACUUACGGGCAUCUUUGAAAAGAGUAGGCCAAUAAAAACCGGAUUGCAAUACCUUAUGUGCAGUUCUAUCUCCAGCGUGGUGUCCUCCAUAAGCCUCGGAGUGACACUUGCGUAGGAUAUGUUCUUGUUCAUG
This 17986-nucleotide long non-coding RNA is filed under the name Triticum aestivum (bread wheat). RNAcentral describes it as "long non-coding RNA (TAES_LNC004583)". Lineage: Eukaryota; Viridiplantae; Streptophyta; Magnoliopsida; Poales; Poaceae. The record is from RNAcentral.